GUGAAGGAGAGCAUGCACGUCACGUUAAGAUCGUACGUCUCCAGUGCGAGCAGCCGCCAUUUUCUCAGCGUGAAAGAAGCAAGAAGCGAGUGAAAGACUAUGACUUGUUGAGCUUGUGUCUUCAUCGUGUCAGCGCCGAGAGUUAAAGACACAGAAGCUGUUUGUGUGAGAGUCACACACUGUGUGAGGAGGAGGAUGAUGUGUUCUUCUGAAGAGAGGGACAGACGGUUUAGGGCGAGUAAACUUCAGAAUUCCAUCAAGUUAUCUUUAUUUUUACUAAGACUAAAAUAAUGUUUGUUUUGUAGAUGUUAAAAGCCAGAGACAUGGGAGAUCAUCAUUCUUUUGAGUUUUUAUAACUCAAACCAACUUUGGAGUUGUCUGAUUUGGAGAGUCAUCAUUCUUUUUCUUCCCUCUUAAAAGCCACUGAUGAAGAGCAGGUGGUGACUGGAUGAAUGCUGGUCAAAGAAGAGAACAUCCUUUCCUCUAAACUGAUGCAGCAGUGGUUUUAAAUGAGGACACUGCCCUGGAUGAUGUAGAAGAUGUCACAUGCUGUGCUGAAGGGGCUUCUUCAUGACUACAGCAAUUAUGCUGAAGAGAUCAUGAAAGUUGACCGUGAUGCAUGAUCUGUAUUCAUGGACUAUGAAACAAACUGUAAGUGUAUAAUUUGUGAAAACAA
This is a long non-coding RNA of Carassius carassius (crucian carp), 676 nucleotides long. RefSeq lists it as uncharacterized. NCBI's taxonomy places the organism in Eukaryota, Metazoa, Chordata, Actinopteri, Cypriniformes, Cyprinidae. The record is from RefSeq and is a predicted model, not a curated record. The transcript has 4 exons.